UACGUAGGGUGCGAGCGUUGUCCGGAAUUAUUGGGCGUAAAGGGCUCGUAGGCGGUCUGUUGCGUCGGUAGUGAAAACUCAGGGCUUAACCCUGAGCCUGCUUCCGAUACGGGCAGACUAGAGGUAUGCAGGGGAGAACGGAAUUCCUGGUGUAGCGGUGAAAUGCGCAGAUAUCAGGAGGAACACCGGUGGCGAAGGCGGUUCUCUGGGCAUUACCUGACGCUGAGGCGCGAAAGCGUGGGGAGCAAACAGG
This 253-nucleotide ribosomal RNA is filed under the name uncultured bacterium. RNAcentral's name for it is "partial 16S ribosomal RNA". It matches the Rfam family "Bacterial small subunit ribosomal RNA", at positions 524 to 776 of the family's 1533-position model. The record is from RNAcentral.